Octodon degus (degu) is the source of this 387-nucleotide long non-coding RNA. RefSeq lists it as uncharacterized. Lineage: Eukaryota; Metazoa; Chordata; Mammalia; Rodentia; Octodontidae. The transcript has 3 exons. The record is from RefSeq and is a predicted model, not a curated record.
GCAGGGUGUGGCCUUGCCCAGGGCCUCUGCUGUGCGGCCAGCGUAAGAGCAGGCGCUCAGUUGCCUCUCACCAUGUCAGAGCCUAGUACAGAGCUGGUGCCCAGGAUGUAGUUCUUGGGCUGUUUCCUAGUGAAAUUCUGCUGGGAUUCUGCUGGGAGAGUCCAUUUUGGCAGAGCUAGAUGCUGGAGAACUGUUCCCACAGAGCAAGUCUAUUCUUAGAGAUGCUGUGCUGAAGGCUUCCUGGCUUUAACGAUGCACCUGGCUUUUGGCAUGGAGAAGGCGGUUGAGGAGCACGAGGAGGUGGGAGACGCCAUGUACCUCCGCAGGCAUAGCGCCGUGGUUGUCUCUGUGGGAGCACUGCCUAGCCCUCUGCCUUCAGAUGGCACC